This 456-nucleotide long non-coding RNA is filed under the name Aquilegia coerulea. Its description in RNAcentral is "long non-coding RNA (ACOE_LNC000725)". Lineage: Eukaryota; Viridiplantae; Streptophyta; Magnoliopsida; Ranunculales; Ranunculaceae. The record is from RNAcentral.
UUUUCAUAAAAUUAUAAAAGUUAGGUAUAAAUACAGAUAAACAAAAUUAAAGGGAAAAAAAAUUACACUUCACUUCUUGAGGUCGAUCAGACUCCAUGUGUGUGCAAGGAGACUAGGCUAUGUGUGUGAACGACCAAGGAUGUGAUAUAACUUAGAUUAGAAGACCCUAUAUCGACUUUCCUGAAUGUGCCCAGUAUUAAAUGGUAACUAAAUAGCUCACACUGACCCUUUCUGAGUAACAACUCAUUGUUGUGAAUUUGCAGAAGUUCAACAAAAGGAAUACAGUGAACAUCAUAUCGGAAUUUGGACAUAUCAGAGAGUCUGACUAUGUACUUUCUGACCAAAUCUGCUUCGUGAAAUUCUUCAAAACCCAUUGUAUAUAUCAUAUCCUUCAAAAUCUUCGGGCGAUGAAAUAUCACAGAAACAUAGCUGCCCUUCCAUCUCCAAGAGAUACAU